This 253-nucleotide ribosomal RNA is filed under the name uncultured prokaryote. Its description in RNAcentral is "partial 16S ribosomal RNA". It matches the Rfam family "Bacterial small subunit ribosomal RNA", at positions 524 to 776 of the family's 1533-position model. The record is from RNAcentral.
UACGAAGGGGGCUAGCGUUGUUCGGAUUUACUGGGCGUAAAGCGCACGUAGGCGGACUUUUAAGUCAGGGGUGAAAUCCCGGGGCUCAACCUCGGAACUGCCUUUGAUACUGGAAGUCUGGAGUAUGGAAGAGGUAAGUGGAAUUCCGAGUGUAGAGGUGAGAUUCGUAGAUAUUCGGAGGAACACCAGUGGCGAAGGCGGCUUACUGGUCCAUUACUGACGCUGAGGUGCGAAAGCGUGGGGAGCAAACAGG